GGGUGUAUGGUCUAGUGGUAUGAUUUUCGCUUCGCACUUCUUGGUCGACUUAUGGUCCACCUGAUGCGCCCUGUGAAAGGUCCCCGGUUCAAUCCCGGGUGCAUCCA
Non-coding RNA from Parachaetomium inaequale, 107 nucleotides. The record is from the annotation of a GenBank genome assembly. Lineage: Eukaryota; Fungi; Ascomycota; Sordariomycetes; Sordariales; Chaetomiaceae.